This 466-nucleotide ribosomal RNA is filed under the name uncultured bacterium. RNAcentral describes it as "partial 16S ribosomal RNA". It matches the Rfam family "Bacterial small subunit ribosomal RNA", at positions 28 to 506 of the family's 1533-position model. The record is from RNAcentral.
GAUGAACGCUGGCGGCGUGCUUAACACAUGCAAGUCGAACGAUGAAGCCCAGCUUGCUGGGUGGAUUAGUGGCGAACGGGUGAGUAACACGUGAGUAACCUGCCCUUAACUCUGGGAUAAGCCUGGGAAACUGGGUCUAAUACCGGAUAGGAGCGUCCACCGCAUGGUGGGUGUUGGAAAGAUUUAUCGGUUUUGGAUGGACUCGCGGCCUAUCAGCUUGUUGGUGAGGUAAUGGCUCACCAAGGCGACGACGGGUAGCCGGCCUGAGAGGGUGACCGGCCCCACUGGGGACGGGACAAGGGCCCGGCCCCCACCGGGGGGGAGGGGGGGGGAAAUUGGCCCAAGGGGGGCAAGCCUGAUGCAGGGCCGCCGGGGGGGGGAUGACGGCCUUGGGGUGGGAAACCCCUUUCAGUAGGGAAGAAGCGAAAGUGACGGUACCGGCAGAAGAAGCACCGGCUAACUAGGU